ACUAUAUCUAAUAAUUUUGAUGUUGUGAUUUGGGCUGUGGUUUCUAAAGAUUUGAAACUUGAGAAGAUUCAAGAGCAGAUUUGGAAAAAAAUUGGCUUUUUGGGUGACAAAUGGGAAAAGAAAAGCCUCCGUGAGAAAGCGGAAGACAUAUUUCAUGUACUGAGUAGAAAGAAAUUUGUAUUAUUAUUAGAUGACAUAUGGCGGCGAGUUGACCUUGAAGAGAUUGGGGUUCCUCUACCUACUAGACAAAACAGAUGCAAGAUAGUAUUCACAACAUGCUCCCAUAGGAUAGGUAGGCAAAUGGAAGCUGAAAAGAUGAUAAAAGUGAAACCUUUGGAUUGGGAAGAAGCUUGGGCAUUGUUUCAGAAGAAGGUUGGGGAUAUUGAUUUUGAUAUUGUUCCUCUGGCUCAAGAUGUUGCUAAAGAGUGUAGUGGGUUGCCAAUCGCACUCAUUACCACUGGUUGAGCCAUGGCCGGUAGAAUUACAAAUGAAGAAUGGCAGCAUGCUCUUGAGGUACUUAGAAGCCCUGCCUCAAGCUUACCAGGCAUGGAGGACGAGGUAUUUCAAGAAAUGGAGGUUGAAGUAUUUUCAUUAUUGAAGUUUAGUUAUGAUAGUCUGCGUAGUGAUAAAGUUAAAUCUUGUUUCUUAUAUUGUUCCUUAUUUCUGGAAGACUUUGAAAUUCACAAACGUGAAUUGGUAGAUUAUUGGAUUUGUGAGAAUUUUGGUGAUUGCAAUGAGUCAUAUUCUAUAAUCGGUUCACUUGUUGGGGCAUGUUUAUUGGAAGAGAAAGGCCGACAUGUGAAAAUGCAUGAUGUGAUUCGUGACAUGGCUCUGUGGAUAGCAUGUAAAUAUGAAAAAGAAAAGCACAAGUUUUUUGUGGAAGCGGGUGCCCAAUUAACUCAAGUACCAGAGGUUGGAAAAUGGGAAGUAUCAAAGCGGAUGUCCUUGAUGGCAAACUCCUUCGAGAGAAUCCAUGAAGUUCCUAGAUGUCCUGAUCUUUUGACUUUAUUUCUCAGCGAUAAUCGUCUUUUAAGGGAGAUCGGUGAUGGUUUCUUUCAAUUUAUGGAUACACUAAAUGUUCUGGACCUCUCAGGCACUUGUAUAAGGGAAUUGCCGAUGGGAAUAUCAAAAUUGAACUCAUUGCAAUAUCUUAAUCUGUCAAGGACGCUGAUAAGGCAAUUGCCAGUUGAGUUGAAAAUGUUGAUAAAUCUGAAAUAUCUGAACUUGAAGAGUACUUCCGAGCUAUGUAGGAUUCCAAGGGGAGUCAUAUCUAGUUUAUCAUCAUUGCAAGUUUUGAAAAUGUACAACGUUGGUUUUCUUUGGGUCGAAGAAUUGGAAGAUAAUAUAUUGAGGGAAGAUAAUAUGCUAAUAGAGGAGCUACAAUGUUUGGAACACUUGAAUGUAUUAAGCAGCACAAUAACAAGUGUCUCAGGUCUCCAGAGUUAUGUCAACACCCUCACAUUACUCAACUGUACUCGAGCUCUAAGGCUUGAAUUGUUUCCAGGUCCACAAUCUCUCAACAUUUGGUGGUUAACAAAUAUGAAGAAUCUAGGACUUAUAUAUAUGGUUGGUCGAAGUCAUUUAGGAGAGCCGGAUGUUGAUGUUGUAAUGGAAGAGAUAGAAACACAUGAUGAUGCAGGUGGAGGUCUAGGCAACUCAAUGAUCUCAAGGGAGACAUGCUUUAACAGCCUUAAUACAUUGAAUUUAAGGGGAAGCCUCAGAUUGAAGGAUCUGACAUGGAUUAUUCUAGCUCCAAAUUUGACGUACUUGUAUGUGGGCCAGAACAAGCAUAUAGAAGAGAUAAUAAGUGUUGAAAAGUUAGAUGAUGUUCAAGUUGGGGAUGAAAAUUUUAACCCAUUUUUAAAACUCCAAUAUCUUACAUUGGUUGAUUUACCAGAACUGAAAAGCAUAUAUCCCAAAGCCUUGUCCUUUCCCUCUCUAAAAAGAAUCGAUGUAUAUGAAUGCCCACAGCUUAAGAAGCUGCCAUUAAACUCGAGCAGCGCAAAUGGAGGCAAAGUUGAGAUUAAAGCAGAGGAACAAUGGUGGAAAGAUGUUGAAUGGGAGGAUGAUUCUACUAAAACUACCUUUCUACCGUGCUUUGUGCCUUCUCGCCGUCGGUAUUGAUUUUCACAUUUGCUUGGUUUCCAUAGGUGGCAGAGGAUGAGCUGGCAAACUAUGGAGUGGUGUGUUAUGGCCUAAUGCUGCAUUUAGCUUUGGAUGCUGUGUUGGUGAAGUUAUUUUGUUGACUUUGCUGCUUGUGAAUUCUAGAGCAUCAGGACUGCGAUUCUUGCACCUUUUCUAUCACUGACAAUCAAGGGAAAAUAGGGGAAGCAAUGCGAAUGAGGCAAUAAAAGCUACUGGGGAGAAUUCUCCAUCGAUUUGCUGUGAAGCUACUAUCCCAACCGAAGGGCAUAUGCUUAUCUCAUUCCCAACUGACAAACUAGGAGAAUCACUGCAGGUAUACACAUCUUCAAUAAAUAACUUGGUGUAUAUGUUGUAGAAUAUAUUUGACAUUUUCGUAAAAGGAAACUACUAUACCAACAGAAGGGCCAGCGCUGCUUAAUCCCAGUGCCAUAUUUUUGCCUUGUGAAUUUUGCUACUGUUAAUGACGUUUAUUUGUUUGAUAUUUUGCCCCUUUUUGUCUGGCGUUUCAUCUGUUAAAUUGCUAUUGUUGACAUGGAUUACAUUUUACUAAUAAUGUUCCUUAGAAGUUACCUCAAGCUUGUUGUAUUGUAAUUGUGAUGUUCUCUCUUAAUUUCCGGAGUUUUAACUUUAAGCUUACAAUGCUUAGCAAUAAUCUUUCUUUAUCUCUUUCUUUGGUGAAUUUGAUUUUGACCCAUCGUAUUUACUGACCCAUGGUUCGGCAAUCUUUGUGGGAAAAUUGAACCCCGAUGCAAGUAGAAGUGAAGAAUGAAUAUGAGGCAUAGAGAACCACCAAAAUUCCCUUGCAUAGAGACAGAGCUAGAAAGAAUCAGCAGCUUACCAGGUCAUAUUUUGGACCAAAUUUUAUCGCAGCUGUCAAUUAGAGAUGCAGUGAGAACAAGUGCUUUGUCAAGGAAAUGGAGGUAUAAAUGGGCUAAAAUUCCCCAUCUUGUGUUUGAUAAUAAUUGUGUCCCAAAUCCAUCUCAAGAUCAAACUCUCAUAAAAAACAAGCUUGUCAACAUUGUUGAUCAUGUUCUCUUACUUCAUACUGGCCCAAUACACAAGUUCAAACUUUCUCACCGAGAUCUUCUAGGUGUUAGUGAUAUUGAUCGAUGGAUUCUUCAUUUAUCAAGAAGCUCUAUUAAAGAAUUCAUACUUGAAAUAUGGAAGGGACAGCGCUACAAAGUACCAUCUUCUUUAUUCUCAUUUGAACAUCUGAUACAUUUGGAGCUAUUCAAUUGUUUGCUAAAACCUCCUUUAUCAUUCAAAGGGUUCCGGAAUUUGAAGAGCCUUGACCUUCAGCACAUUACCCUGACUCAGCAAGUGUUUGAAAAUCUAAUUCUUAGCUGCCCUCUGCUCGAGAGGUUGACAUUGAUGAAUUUUGAUGGUUUCACUCACCUUAACAUCAAUGCUCCAAACCUUCAAUUUUUUGACAUUGGAGGGGUUUAUGACGAUGUCAAUUUUGAGAAUACCUUUCAGUUAACUCUCAUCUCAAUUGGCUUGUAUGUAAAUGUAAAAAAUGACCGAAAUGUGGUUCAUGGGAACUCUAGUAAAUUGCUCAGGUUCUUUGCUAAUCUACCUCAUAUUCGAAGGCUCGAGGUUCAGAGUUUCUUUUUGAAGUAUUUGUCUAUUGGCAACAUUCCUAGCAGAUUGCCAAGACCAUGCAUUGAUCUGAAUUACCUUUCUAUACGCAUAAAUUUCAAUGAUAUGGAGGAAAAUUCAGCUGCCUUGUGUCUUUUAAGAAGUUCUCCUAAUGUGCAAGAACUGGAGAUGCUGGCACGCCCAGAGGAACAAACUUCUAUGGGAACAUUAUCUAACUUUUGGGAGGAUGACCAUUGGAACAGUCUCUUUGGCCAACUACUACUUGUGAAAAUUGUUGGCAUUUCUGGUGUCAAAUCUGAACUUGAUUUCAUUAACUUUCUGCUCUCAAACUCACCUGUUCUUGAGAGAAUGACUGUUAAGCCAGCUUCCAAUGAUGGAGGAUGGGAGUUGCUAAAAGAAUUGCUGCGAUUCCGUCGGGCUUCAGUGAGAGCAGAAAUCAUUUAUCUUGACCCGUAACUAUGAUCUGUUUGCCUUGGCAAUCAUUGAAAAAUGCUUAACAUGUAAAAAGUAAUCAAACUUCUUGAGUAUAUGCAUAUGUUGCUUCCGAAAAUUUGCCAUCUGUAGUUGAUAAUGUGGAAACAUGAGAUUAAAAAAAUGAUCUUUUAUAAUGAACAAGCUGUGAUGAUCCUUAUUAGUAUUAGCUGAAUAAAAUUUUCUAAGAUACAGAGUUCAGCUUUUGUAUUU
RNAcentral lists this unclassified non-coding RNA (4428 nucleotides) under Hevea brasiliensis (rubber tree). Lineage: Eukaryota; Viridiplantae; Streptophyta; Magnoliopsida; Malpighiales; Euphorbiaceae. The record is from RNAcentral.